Molecule: ribosomal RNA, 414 nt
Filed under: uncultured microorganism
Description: bacterial SSU rRNA
Rfam family: Bacterial small subunit ribosomal RNA
Source: RNAcentral
GAGUUUGAUCGUGGCUCAGAUUGAACGCUGGCGGCAGGCCUAACACAUGCAAGUCGAACGGUAACAGGAAACAGCUUGCUGUUUCGCUGACGAGUGGCGGACGGGUGAGUAAUGUCUGGGAAACUGCCUGAUGGAGGGGAUAACUACUGGAAACGGUAGCUAAUACCGCAUAACGUCGCAAGACCAAAGAGGGGGACCUUCGGGCCUCUUGCCAUCGGAUGUGCCCAGAUGGGAUUAGCUAGUAGGUGGGGUAACGGCUCACCUAGGCGACGAUCCCUAGCUGGUCUGAGAGGAUGACCAGCCACACUGGAACUGAGACACGGUCCAGACUCCUACGGGAGGCAGCAGUGGGAAUAUUGCACAAUGGGCGCAAGCCUGAUGCAGCCAUGCCGCGUGUAUGAAGAAGGCCUUCGG